UCUGCUGGCCUGGCUGGAGCCUGCAGUACCUCCCCUGCUGGCCUUUCAAGGCCAUACAGCGCUCCCUGCGGACCCAGCUGACGCCUCCCUGCGGGUCGCUGGUCCACCACCCCGCUGUACAUACCCCUUUCCUAAACUAAGCCCUGACGCCAGCAACUCUCUGAGCCAUGCCCACAUCUUGAACCACUGACUUUGUUCCCUAGGGAUGGCCUCUUGGUUCAUACGUACGUCUGACUGUCCCCCUCUACUGAGUCGCAGAGCGGCCAGAGUAGAAGUGGAUUUGCAGUGUCAGAGCAGGACAGAGUAUUUAGGAACGUUGGACAGGAUAGACUACUGCAGAAGUCACUAACCCGUGCCGGAGUGCGAGGUCGGUUGGCUACAGGUCGGUUGAGAGUUUCUGUUCGGAUCGUCGGUGCAGGGGCAAUUCAGGAUGUAAACAUUGCCUCAAUCCACGAAGCUGGAAUCUUUUUAUCUUGAACUUCGUCACUUCAAGAGUGUCAUACAAAUGGAAUCAUACUGCACACACUUUUGUGACUGGCUUCUUGGCGGAAUUCUCCAGAGAACCAUCCAAACAUGCAUAAUUCACCCUUUGGGAAUCUUUAGGAUCAGGUCGUGGAGUUCAAAAGGAAAAUGCUUUUAAAAGAAUCUACAACCAUAUGGAGUUGCACAGGAGGAACACAGAAAGAUGUCAAAACACAUUACUCCCAUGGCUUUUGAGCCGUCUCUCAGCAGAUUCCCUUGAGGGAACUGACAGCACUUUGAAGGCCAUGGAAACUCCUUCAACCAAUGGAGAACUAAAGAGUGGAAACUGGAACACUGCAUCUGUCCCAGAAGGAUGAUCAUCACAGCACAUCAUAGGAGAGCCAGCCAGGGUCCAAACAGCUCCUGCCAGAGACUGUUCUGAACAUUGGAUAAGAUAUGGAUGGCCCCUGUGCCUGAGGAUCCCCUGAUUUAAUGGGAAGAGUGAGUGGUGAACAAAUGUUACAAUCCAGGGAGAAAGUGCUAUAGGAGCGGCAGCACAGAGCAUUAUGGGAGCAAGGGGAGCUCCUUACGGAGGCCAGGAGACCAUGGGGGACUUGCCAGAGGACAUGGCAUCAAAAGCAGAGCUAUGCCUCAGUUCUGGGCCAUGACUUCGGUUCUCGGGAAAGCUUAUUAACUUCUCUGGGACCUCAGUUUUCCCAUCUGAAAAGUGAGAAGGUCGAGAAAUUUAUAGGAUUUCUGAGAUGCUUAGAAUACAUAAUUCUGGUACAUCCAUCCAUGGCUCCUGGUGCAGGGUAAGUCCUCAGUAAAUAGGAGGGGCUGUUAUCGCUAUGACUAUGAAUGCCGUUUCAACAGAGGGGUUAGAGGGAAAGGGCCAAAGCGGGAGGCUGGGAACAACUCAAGCAGGUGACCUUCAAAGCACUCUGUGCAAAUAUCGAGUCCUUUUCUGAGCGCUGAGAAAGUGCCUAUUUGGAAAGGCAGCCAGCUGGAGUGACAUUUACUCCCGGUGUGACACAGGAGGCAGAUGAACGGUGAGUGGGGCGCAUUGUCUGGCGGUGAAGACGCAGACACAACAUGAAGAAUAAGCCUUCCAGGGGCUGCCCAAAGGUCACCACACACGCCUUUUGAUUAGAAAAAGCAGU
Panthera uncia (snow leopard) is the source of this 1622-nucleotide long non-coding RNA. RefSeq lists it as uncharacterized. NCBI's taxonomy places the organism in Eukaryota, Metazoa, Chordata, Mammalia, Carnivora, Felidae. The transcript is spliced from 4 exons. The record is from RefSeq and is a predicted model, not a curated record.